This 253-nucleotide ribosomal RNA is filed under the name uncultured bacterium. RNAcentral describes it as "partial 16S ribosomal RNA". It matches the Rfam family "Bacterial small subunit ribosomal RNA", at positions 524 to 776 of the family's 1533-position model. The record is from RNAcentral.
UACGUAGGGUGCGAGCGUUAAUCGGAAUAACUGGGCGUAAAGAGUGCGCAGGCGGCGCCGCAAGUCGAGUGUGAAAGCCCCGGGCUUAACUUGGGAAUUGCGCUCGAAACUAUGGUGCUGGAGUGUGGCAGAGGAAGGUGGAAUUCCACGUGUAGCGGUGAAAUGCGUAGAGAUGUGGAGGAACACCGAUGGCGAAGGCAGCCUUCUGGGCCAACACUGACGCUCAUGCACGAAAGCGUGGGGAGCAAACAGG